GAUGAAGAACGUAGCGAAAUGCGAUAAGUAAUGUGAAUUGCAGAAUUCAGUGAAUCAUCGAAUCUUUGAACGCACCUUGCGCCCUUUGGCCAUUCCGAAGGGCAUGCCUGUUUGAGUAUCAUGAACACCUCAACUCUUUAUGGUUUUCCAUGAUGAGCUUGGACUCUGGGGGUUUUGCUGGCUCACAGUCGGCUCCUCUAAAAUGAAUCAGCUUACCAGUGUUUGGUGGGUAUCAUGGGUGUGAUAACUAUCUACGCUUGUGGUUUUUCCACCAGGUAACCUUCAGCAGUGGAGGUUCGCUGGAGCUCAUAGAUGUCUCUCCUCAGUGAGGACAGCCCUUUGAAUGUUUGAUCUCAAAUCAGGUAGGACUACCCGCUGAACUUAAGCAUAUCAAUUAGCGGAGGA
Molecule: unclassified non-coding RNA, 405 nt
Filed under: soil metagenome
Description: partial contains 5.8S ribosomal RNA, internal transcribed spacer 2, and large subunit ribosomal RNA
Rfam family: 5.8S ribosomal RNA (bases 1-121)
Source: RNAcentral